This 894-nucleotide ribosomal RNA is filed under the name uncultured bacterium. Its description in RNAcentral is "bacterial SSU rRNA". It matches the Rfam family "Bacterial small subunit ribosomal RNA", at positions 27 to 895 of the family's 1533-position model. The record is from RNAcentral.
GAACAAACGCGGGCGGCGUGCCUAACACAUGCAAGUCGUACGCGAAAGGGUCCUUCGGGGCCUGAGUAAAGUGGCGCACGGGUGAGUAACGCGUGGAUAAUCUGCCCUUAAGUCGGGAAUAACUCAUCGAAAGGUGGGCUAAUACCGGAUAAUGCUGUUUUUACCUCGGUGAUGCAGCCAAAGGGGGCCUCUAUUUAUAAGCUCUUGCUUAAGGAUGAGUCCGCGUACCAUUAGCUAGUUGGUGGGGUAAUGGCCUACCAAGGCCGCGAUGGUUAGCUGGUCUGAGAGGAUGAUCAGCCACACUGGAACUGAGACACGGUCCAGACUCCUACGGGAGGCAGCAGUGAGGAAUCUUGCGCAAUGGGGGCAACCCUGACGCAGCAACGCCGCGUGAGUGAGGAAGGUUUUCGGAUUGUAAAGCUCUGUCGGGUGGAAAGAAAGACAUGGGGGUUAAUACCUCCCAUGUUCGACGGUACCACCAAAGGAAGCACCGGCUAACUCCGUGCCAGCAGCCGCGGUAAUACGGGGGGUGCAAGCGUUGUUCGGAAUUAUUGGGCGUAAAGAGCGUGUAGGCGGCUUGAUAAGUCAGAUGUGAAAGCCCUGGGCUUAACCCAUGAAGUGCAUUUGAAACUGUCUUGCUUGAGUAAGGGAGGGGGAAGUGGAAUUCCUGGUGUAGAGGUGGAAUUCGUAGAUAUCAGGAGGAACACCGGUGGCGAAGGCGACUUCCUGGCCCUAUACUGACGCUGAGACGCGAGAGCGUGGGUAGCAAACAGGAUUAGAUACCCUGGUAGUCCACGCCGUAAACGAUGUUCACUAGGUGUUGGGGGUAUUGACCCCCUCAGUGCCGGAGCUAACGCAUUAAGUGAACCGCCUGGGGAGUACGGUCGCAAAACU